RNAcentral lists this ribosomal RNA (403 nucleotides) under uncultured bacterium. RNAcentral describes it as "partial 16S ribosomal RNA". It matches the Rfam family "Bacterial small subunit ribosomal RNA", at positions 28 to 526 of the family's 1533-position model. The record is from RNAcentral.
GACGAACGCUGGCGGCGUGCCUAAUACAUGCAAGUCGAACGCAGUGGGGACGGGUGAGUAACACGUGGCUAACCUCCCAUCAGAGGGGAUAACACUUGGAAACAGGUGCUAAACUGAUACUGAUGGAUGGACUCGCGGUGCAUUAGCUAGUUGGUGAGGGAACGGCUCACCAAGGCCACGAUGCAUAGCCGGCCUGAGAGGGUGAUCGGCCACACUGGGACUGAGACACGGCCCAGACUCCUACGGGAGGCAGCAGUGGGGAAUCUUCGGCAAUGGGCGAAAGUCUGAUCGAGCAACGCCGCGUGAGUGAAGAAGGUUUUCGGGUCGUAAAGCACUGUUGUUAGAGAGGCGGUAUCUAACCAAAAAGCAACGGCUAACUACGUGCCAGCAGCCGCGGUAAUAC